CAGCAGCCGCGGUAAUGCGUAGGUGGCGAGCGUUGUCCGGAAUUAUUGGGCGUAAAGGGCUCGCAGGCGGUUUCUUAAGUCUGAUGUGAAAGCCCCCGGCUCAACCGGGGAGGGUCAUUGGAAACUGGGAAACUUGAGUGCAGAAGAGGAGAGUGGAAUUCCACGUGUAGCGGUGAAAUGCGUAGAGAUGUGGAGGAACACCAGUGGCGAAGGCGACUCUCUGGUCUGUAACUGACGCUGAGGAGCGAAAGCGUGGGGAGCGAACAGGAUUAGAUACCCGGGUAGUCCCUGUCUCUUAUAC
RNAcentral lists this ribosomal RNA (301 nucleotides) under uncultured bacterium. RNAcentral describes it as "partial 16S ribosomal RNA". It matches the Rfam family "Bacterial small subunit ribosomal RNA", at positions 509 to 807 of the family's 1533-position model. The record is from RNAcentral.